AACACUGCAAGACGUCCAUCGCCAUUCUUGUGGCCAAUUGCACUAUUUAGUUGUGUAAGUAGCCUUCUGUUUGGCCUCUAAGCAGCCAGUGUCUAGAACAGCUGACUAAAGUCUAUUGAGGGAAUGACGCUAUGACUCGGGCCAUUGCUGAGCUAAAUGCCGAAGGGGGAUGGGGAGGUUUACUGUACUAAGAGGUUAAUGGGACAAUCCCUGAAUGCUAAACAACACAGAUACAUUAUAAGGGGGAGGAAAUGGAGCACGUAUGGGAGAAGACAUAGAACUAUUGGCAAGUGUGGGCAGAUGGUUGCUGCACUUAUCCCUAUUACCUAGAAAGAUAACAGCUGCAUGGGAGUGUGGCCAAGACAGCCACCCUGUGAAUCUUUCAAAGCUAAGGGCGUGGCCACUUGAGUGACAGGUGAACUGCCACUGCUGUCACUAGAGUCGAACUAGGCGGACGUGGUUUCAGCAACUGGCCACCUCAGCUUUACCCACACCUCUUUACCAUUUUUCGGUUAUCUGUGAGUGAUGCGCGGUGACGUGAUGCCAAUGCCGAUGGCAGGCCCCACCAACUAUUGGCUUCAAAAAACCUCUUUACAAACCUUUGGGUGACGUCACAGACACUACGUCCAUAAUUUUUACAGUCUAUGGUAAUAACGCAAUGCAAUAAAUCAUCCAGAAAUUAACGUAAUCCCAUCUUCAGGUUUAGAGACAUCUAGAUUAAUUAUCAAUAAUGAACUUAAA
Paramisgurnus dabryanus is the source of this 741-nucleotide long non-coding RNA. RefSeq lists it as uncharacterized. The record is from RefSeq and is a predicted model, not a curated record. Lineage: Eukaryota; Metazoa; Chordata; Actinopteri; Cypriniformes; Cobitidae.